RNAcentral lists this ribosomal RNA (465 nucleotides) under Vreelandella stevensii. Its description in RNAcentral is "partial 16S ribosomal RNA". It matches the Rfam family "Bacterial small subunit ribosomal RNA", at positions 338 to 795 of the family's 1533-position model. The record is from RNAcentral. Lineage: Bacteria; Pseudomonadati; Pseudomonadota; Gammaproteobacteria; Oceanospirillales; Halomonadaceae.
CCUACGGGGUGCAGCAGUGGGGAAUAUUGGACAAUGGGCGAAAGCCUGAUCCAGCCAUGCCGCGUGUGUGAAGAAGGCCUUCGGGUUGUAAAGCACUUUCGGUGGGGAAGAAAGCCUUGGGGCUAAUACCCUCGAGGAAGGACAUCACCCACAGAAGAAGCACCGGCUAACUCCGUGCCAGCAGCCGCGGUAAUACGGAGGGUGCGAGCGUUAAUCGGAAUUACUGGGCGUAAAGCGCGCGUAGGCGGUCUGAUAAGCCGGUUGUGAAAGCCCCGGGCUCAACCUGGGAACGGCAUCCGGAACUGUCAGGCUAGAGUGCAGGAGAGGAAGGUAGAAUUCCCGGUGUAGCGGUGAAAUGCGUAGAGAUCGGGAGGAAUACCAGUGGCGAAGGCGGCCUUCUGGACUGACACUGACGCUGAGGUGCGAAAGCGUGGGUAGCAAACAGGAUUAGAUACCCCGGUAGUC